This 255-nucleotide ribosomal RNA is filed under the name uncultured bacterium. RNAcentral describes it as "partial 16S ribosomal RNA". It matches the Rfam family "Bacterial small subunit ribosomal RNA", at positions 140 to 394 of the family's 1533-position model. The record is from RNAcentral.
GGGACAACAGUUGGAAACGACUGCUAAUACCGCAUAAUGUUUUGGAAGGGCAUCCUUCUGAAACCAAAGCUUUAUGUGCUGAGAGAUGGUCUCGCGUCUGAUUAGCUAGAUGGCGGGGUAACGGCCCACCAUGGCGACGAUCAGUAGCCGGUCUGAGAGGAUGAACGGCCACAUUGGGACUGAGAUACGGCCCAGACUCCUACGGGAGGCAGCAGUGGGGAAUAUUGGGCAAAGGGGGAAACCCUGACCCAGCAA